Molecule: ribosomal RNA, 509 nt
Filed under: uncultured beta proteobacterium
Lineage: Bacteria; Pseudomonadati; Pseudomonadota; Betaproteobacteria
Description: bacterial SSU rRNA
Rfam family: Bacterial small subunit ribosomal RNA
Source: RNAcentral
GAGUUUGAUCCUGGCUCAGAUUGAACGCUGGCGGCAGCUUUACACAUGCAAGUCGAACGGAUCAAGAAGCUUGCUUCUUGGUUAGUGGCGAACGGUGAGUAAUAUAUCGGAACGUACCCGGCAAUGGGGGAUAACGUAGCGAAAGUUACGCUAAACCGCAUAUGCCCUGAGGGGGAAAGCAGGGGAUCGAAAGACCUUGCGUUGUCGGAGCGGCGAUAUCGGAUUAGCUAGUUGGUGGGGUAAAGCCUACCAAGGCGACGAUCCGUAGCGGGCUGAGAGGAUGAUCCGCCACACUGGGACUGAGACACGGCCCAGACUCCUACGGGAGGCACAGUGGGGAAUUUUGGACAAUGGGCGAAAGCCUGAUCCAGCCAUGCCGCGUGAGUGAAGAGGCCUUCGGGUUGUAAAGCUCUUUCGGACAGAAAGAAAUCCUAUCCGCUAAUACCGGGGGGGAUGACGGUACUGUAAGAAGAAGCACCGGCUAACUACGUGCCAGCAGCCGCGGUAAU